GCAAGUUUGAAACUCAAAGGAAUUGACGGGGGCCCGCACAAGCGGUGGAUUAUGUGGUUUAAUUCGAUGAUACGCGAGGAACCUUACCAAGGCUUAAAUGGGAAUUGAUCGGUUUAGAAAUAGACCUUCCUUCGGGCAAUUUUCAAGGUGCUGCAUGGUUGUCGUCAGCUCGUGCCGUGAGGUGUUAGGUUAAGUCCUGCAACGAGCGCAACCCCUGUCACUAGUUGCCAUCAUUCAGUUGGGGACUCUAGUGAGACUGCCUACGCAAGUAGAGAGGAAGGUGGGGAUGACGUCAAAUCAUCACGGCCCUUACGCCUUGGGCCACACACGUAAUACAUUGGCCGGUACAGAGGGCAGCUACACAGCGAUGUGAUGCAAAUCUCGAAAGCCGGUCUCAGUUCGGAUUGGAGUCUGUAACUCGACUCUAUGAAGCUGGAAUCGCUAGUAAUCGCGCAUCAGCCAUGGCGCGGUGAAUACGUUCCCGGGCCUUGUACACACCGCCCGUCAAGCCAUGGAAGUCUGGGGUACCUGAAGUCGGUGACCGUAAAAGGAGCUGCCUAGGGUAACACAGGUAACUAGGGCUAAGUCGUAACAA
Molecule: ribosomal RNA, 595 nt
Filed under: uncultured bacterium
Lineage: Bacteria
Description: bacterial SSU rRNA
Rfam family: Bacterial small subunit ribosomal RNA
Source: RNAcentral